AGUCGAAGAUGGGUAUUAGAUACUAUGCCGAUUGGCUUUAGGCUAAGUGGGAGUUGUUGGGAAUUGUAUCCUAAAUGUCAAUCGUCAGCAUGUUGAUGAUUGAAUUUUGUAAAUGAAUUGACAAAUCAAUAAAGUAUUUUUUGCCAUUAUUCAUCAUUUUACAUCUUCAAAUGGACUCUUAUAUGAUGAAGUCUUUAGGACUUAUUAAUGAUAAAGGAGGAUUUAUCUUCGAGUCCUUAAACUAGUUCGCAACCAAAUGAUAUGUUGUUACAAGGACGACAGCAUUAUCAAGAUUAGGUCAUUGUGUGACAUAUACGUUGGUUGUCCUCUUAACCAAGGAGUGUGGAGACACUGGUAUGCCACACACGUGAAGUGUAGGAGUACAUUUCACUGAACGUGACCAAUUCAGGAACGCUCUACUGUCAAGAGAUAUUCCGAGUGGAUAUGGGUAUAAGUUUGGCCCUCUGACCUGAGACCGCAACCUGUGACUAGCAAGAAACUCAUUGUACUUUGGUACCGGACUACCUGGAUUUCUAAUUCAGUGACGGAAGGUCACUGG
This 559-nucleotide long non-coding RNA is filed under the name Phoenix dactylifera (date palm). RNAcentral's name for it is "long non-coding RNA (PDAC_LNC012186)". Lineage: Eukaryota; Viridiplantae; Streptophyta; Magnoliopsida; Arecales; Arecaceae. The record is from RNAcentral.